This is a long non-coding RNA of Alligator mississippiensis (American alligator), 1800 nucleotides long. RefSeq lists it as uncharacterized. The transcript has 4 exons. Lineage: Eukaryota; Metazoa; Chordata; Crocodylia; Alligatoridae. The record is from RefSeq and is a predicted model, not a curated record.
GGCAGCAAUAUUGCCUGGCUGGAGGGCUGCUGAGAACAACCUGGAGGUGAAUGAUGAAAACAAUGGCGUGAGACAAUUCGUUCCAAUACUAGCAAGUUCUUGGAAGUCAUAUUCCACUGUUCUCAUCUCAGGAUUGUGGAUUCCCUAGGACAGUCUGUCUUUAUCUGUAAUGGGAAACACUAUGAAAAGCAUUGCUUUUACUGCAAAGUGUUGCUGAGACUUAGUAUGCCUCUCAGCUGUGAAGAAACCUCAAAAGAAUGAGCGGGUCCAUCCAGAUCCAGACAGAAGAGUUCUGAUGCUCUCAGGAGAUCAGCUAGACAUCCUGAGUCUUCACAAUGGGCUUACUCUGGUUGUUAGAACUAGGACAUGACAAGGCAUGGAAAAAAAAAAUCAUAAGAACUUCUCUGAAGCUCUUAUUAUAGCUAAACCAUCCAUGUCCUUCACACAUCUGUUAUCAGUAGCUCAGAAAAACCAUCUGCCCCCUCCUACUGUACUCUCUAUGUUUGUAAAUAGAUGUCUCACUUGAUGCAGGCUAUACUGUCCCAGGGUUUGACCUGAAUCAGAACAGACACAACAGUCCUAUACAGGCAGUAUCACAUACUGCAUUUCUGCUCCUCUGCCAGUAGAAGCCCAACAAGAACAGGCAGGCUGCCCAGCUAGUCCUGCAAUAAUCUUACACACCCACAUGGCCAUGACCCAGAAACAAGUACAUUUCAUCCUGCAUACUUCAGAGGCACUUAAAGCAGGAUAGUGGACCUGUAUAUCUGUAGGAUCCUAGGACAAAAGACUUUCUCCUGGGAGAAAUACAAGGUCUAUUUACAACCUAAGAAGCAAAAUACAGUAGUCUAAGAGCUUGAUCCUAACUACUGCAGAGUACAUGCUUUGAGUUAGCAAAUGACUUGUAUUUAGCAAAGUACUUAAGCACACACUUAACAUCAAGCUUCAGUGGGACUGAAGCACCUGCUCUUGUGUGCUUUUGAAUCAGUGUCUAAAUACAAGAGAAGACCUGGUAACAUUGAAAUCAAUUGCUCCUAAAUGACUUGACAACACAGUGUUUUGAAAAAAAAUGAUUGUGAAUAGACUGAGGCUGUCUGGAGGAUACAUUGUAUACAUCUAAAAACAAUUCACUAAAUAAACAGAGAAGAUGGCAUUGUAGAAAAGUGUUCAGAAGUCUCCAAGCAGCUUGAUCCAGUGAACAGAGCUCUAAACGAAGAGUAAAUAAAUCUGGGUUCUCUCCCUGGCUCUGGUGGUGACUGGUCACUGGAUGAAAACUGGCUAGUCACUGAACUAAUUUUGUCACUGCCCCUAAAACAACAGGCCUGGAGAUUCUGAAGUAAAAACAGUCUAGCAUUGAUAAUCCAGGUUCACUGAGAGGAUUGGCCUUUUAAGAUCCUCAUCUGGAAGGAACCAGUCACUGGUGCUUAUCCUAAAGAGAAUGACAGCCUGAAGUGCAACACCUAAGUGGGGGUGCCCACAGUUUAGUAGUGAAGAAGCCACAAGGGGUCCCAAGUAGUGAAGGGGUCCAGGUAAUUAAAAAAGCAGUACCCAAAUUACUAUGAGUAAUACAUUCACAAGAAAAAAUCGCCCUUAAUUCUAGUCUCUUAAUUACAAAAGAGGGUCUUUGAAAUAUUUGUUUCCAUCAGUGUGGUCUCACAUGCAUUAACACUGGUCAAAUAAGAAUAUACAUGAAAAUAUGACAAUUAUAGAUUAACAAAUUUUGGCUUAAAUAAACUAAUCAUCGGCCCCAUAAUUUGUUCUUUCCUCUUGGGAUACCUCAUAUUGUUGUGUUUUUUUUUUAAA